AGGCUCGUAGCUCAGGGGGAGAGCGCUUCCUUGACACGGAAGAGGUCGGCGGUUCGAGACCGCCCGGGCCUACCA
RNAcentral lists this transfer RNA (75 nucleotides) under Nitrospirae bacterium GWF2_44_13. Its description in RNAcentral is "tRNA-Val". It matches the Rfam family "tRNA". From Rfam's summary of the family: Transfer RNA (tRNA) molecules are approximately 80 nucleotides in length. Their secondary structure includes four short double-helical elements and three loops (D, anti-codon, and T loops). Lineage: Bacteria; Pseudomonadati; Nitrospirota. RNAcentral also lists the same sequence under 12 other names. The record is from RNAcentral.